AGUGAACGCUGGCGGCGUGCCUAAUACAUGCAAGUCGAACGAACGAAUAAGAGCUUUCUCUUAUAAGUUAUUGGCGCACGGGUGAGUAAUAUAUAUCUAAUCUGCCUCUUAGUAAAGGAGAACAGUCGGAAACGAUUGCGAAUACUCUAUACUUCUUCUUUACAUAAGUAAAGUAGAAAAAGUUUUUCGCUAAGAGAUGAGUCUAUACUGUAUCAGCUAGUUGUUAAGGUAACGGCUUACCAAGGCUAUGACGCAUAACUGGUCUGAGAGGAUGAUCAGUCACAUUGGAACUGAGACACGGUCAAAAAUCCUACGGGAGGCAGCAGUAGGGAAUAUUGCGCAAUGGGGGAAACCCUGAAGCAGCAACGCCGCGUGGAGGAUGACAAUUUUCGGAGCGUAAACUCCUUUUAUCGGGAAAGAAUAAUGACGGUACCCGAUGAAUAAGCAACGGCUAACUCCGUG
RNAcentral lists this ribosomal RNA (462 nucleotides) under uncultured bacterium. Its description in RNAcentral is "partial 16S ribosomal RNA". It matches the Rfam family "Bacterial small subunit ribosomal RNA", at positions 29 to 507 of the family's 1533-position model. The record is from RNAcentral.